UGAAUACGAGAUGCUACGGCGUCGAAGCAGUCUAUGUCAUACUUCCAAGAAAAGCUUGCACUGUCAUAAACAAAUAAUGCCUGUACCAUAACCGACACAGGUGGGUAGGUAGAGUAUACUAAGGGGCGCGAGAUAACUCUCUCUAAGGAACUCGGCAAAAUGACUCCGUAACUUCGGGAGAAGGAGUGCCUUAUUUUAUAAGGUUGCAAUAACAAGAUCCAAGCAACUGUUUACCAAAAACACAGGUCUCCGCUAAGUCGUAAGACGAUGUAUGGGGGCUGACGCCUGCCCAGUGCCAGAAGGUUAAAGAAGUUGGUUAGCAUCCGCGAAGCUGAUAACUGAAGCCCUGGUGAACGGCGGCCGUAACUAUAACGGUCCUAAGGUAGCGAAAUUCCUUGUCGGGUAAGUUCCGACCCGCACGAAGGGCGUAAUGAUUUGGAUACUGUCUCAGAGAGGGGCUCGGUGAAAUAGACUUGUCUGUGAAGAUGCGGACUACCUGCACCAGGACAGAAAGACCCUAUGAAGCUUUACUGUAACUUGAAAUUGAAAUUGGACUUUACUUGCGCAGUAUAGGUGGGAGGCGUUGAGAAUAUUCUUGCGGGAAUGUUGGAGCCAUCAGUGAGAUACCACUCUUGUAAUGUUAGAUUUCUAACUUUGUAUCAUUAUCUGGUCAAAGGACAGUUUCAGGCGGGCAGUUUGACUGGGGCGGUCGCCUCCCAAACGGUAACGGAGGCGCACAAAGGUUUCCUCUGAACGGGUAGAAAUCGUAUCUAGAGUGUAAAGGCAUAAGGAAGCUUGACUGUGAGACCUACAAGUCGAGCAGGGACGAAAGUCGGUCUUAGUGAUCUGACGGUGCUGAGUGGAAAGGCCGUCACUCAACGGAUAAAAGUUACUCUAAGGAUAACAGGCUGAUCUCCCCCAAGAGUUCACAUCGACGGGGAGGUUUGGCACCUCGAUGUCGGCUCAUCGCAUCCUGGGGCGGUAGUACGUCCCAAGGGUUGGGCUGUUCGCCCAUGAAAGCGGUACGCGAGCUGGGUUCAGAACGUCGUGAGACAGUUCGGUCCAUAUCCGGUGUAGGCGUUAGAAUAUUGAGAGGAGCCUUCUUUAGUACGAGAGGACCGAGAAGGACAUACCUCUGGUGUACCAGUUAUCGUGCCAACGGUAAACGCUGGGUAGCUAUGUAUGGAGUGGAUAACCGCUGAAAGCAUCUAAGUGGGAAGCCCACCUCAAGAUAAG
This 1236-nucleotide ribosomal RNA is filed under the name metagenome. Its description in RNAcentral is "bacterial LSU rRNA". It matches the Rfam family "Bacterial large subunit ribosomal RNA", at positions 1564 to 2808 of the family's 2925-position model. The record is from RNAcentral.